GAAAGGCCAAUCAAACCGGGAGAUAGCUGGUUCUCCCCGAAAGCUAUUUAGGUAGCGCCUCGUGAAUUCAUCUCCGGGGGUAGAGCACUGUUUCGGCAAGGGGGUCAUCCCGACUUACCAACCCGAUGCAAACUGCGAAUACCGGAGAAUGUUAUCACGGGAGACACACGGCGGGUGCUAACGUCCGUCGUGAAGAGGGAAACAACCCAGACCGCCAGCUAAGGUCCCAAAGUCAUGGUUAAGUGGGAAACGAUGUGGGAAGGCCCAGACAGCCAGGAUGUUGGCUUAGAAGCAGCCAUCAUUUAAAGAAAGCGUAAUAGCUCACUGGUCGAGUCGGCCUGCGCGGAAGAUGUAACGGGGCUAAACCAUGCACCGAAGCUGCGGCAGCGACACUAUGUGUUGUUGGGUAGGGGAGCGUUCUGUAAGCCUGUGAAGGUGGCCUGUGAGGGUUGCUGGAGGUAUCAGAAGUGCGAAUGCUGACAUAAGUAACGAUAAAGCGGGUGAAAAGCCCGCUCGCCGGAAGACCAAGGGUUCCUGUCCAACGUUAAUCGGGGCAGGGUGAGUCGACCCCUAAGGCGAGGCCGAAAGGCGUAGUCGAUGGGAAACAGGUUAAUAUUCCUGUACUUGGUGUUACUGCGAAGGGGGGACGGAGAAGGCUAUGUUGGCCGGGCGACGGUUGUCCCGGUUUAAGCGUGUAGGCUGGUUUUCCAGGCAAAUCCGGAAAACCAAGGCUGAGGCGUGAUGACGAGGCACUACGGUGCUGAAGCGACAAAUGCCCUGCUUCCAGGAAAAGCCUCUAAGCAUCAGGUAACAUCAAAUCGUACCCCAAACCGACACAGGUGGUCAGGUAGAGAAUACCAAGGCGCUUGAGAGAACUCGGGUGAAGGAACUAGGCAAAAUGGUGCCGUAACUUCGGGAGAAGGCACGCUGAUAUGUAGGUGAAGCGACUUGCUCGUGGAGCUGAAAUCAGUCGAAGAUACCAGCUGGCUGCAACUGUUUAUUAAAAACACAGCACUGUGCAAACACGAAAGUGGACGUAUACGGUGUGACGCCUGCCCGGUGCCGGAAGGUUAAUUGAUGGGGUUAGCGGUAACGCGAAGCUCUUGAUCGAAGCCCCGGUAAACGGCGGCCGUAACUAUAACGGUCCUAAGGUAGCGAAAUUCCUUGUCGGGUAAGUUCCGACCUGCACGAAUGGCGUAAUGAUGGCCAGGCUGUCUCCACCCGAGACUCAGUGAAAUUGAACUCGCUGUGAAGAUGCAGUGUACCCGCGGCAAGACGGAAAGACCCCGUGAACCUUUACUAUAGCUUGACACUGAACAUUGAGCCUUGAUGUGUAGGAUAGGUGGGAGGCUUUGAAGUGUGGACGCCAGUCUGCAUGGAGCCGACCUUGAAAUACCACCCUUUAAUGUUUGAUGUUCUAACGUUGGCCCGUAAUCCGGGUUGCGGACAGUGUCUGGUGGGUAGUUUGACUGGGGCGGUCUCCUCCUAAAGAGUAACGGAGGAGCACGAAGGUUGGCUAAUCCUGGUCGGACAUCAGGAGGUUAGUGCAAUGGCAUAAGCCAGCUUGACUGCGAGCGUGACGGCGCGAGCAGGUGCGAAAGCAGGUCAUAGUGAUCCGGUGGUUCUGAAUGGAAGGGCCAUCGCUCAACGGAUAAAAGGUACUCCGGGGAUAACAGGCUGAUACCGCCCAAGAGUUCAUAUCGACGGCGGUGUUUGGCACCUCGAUGUCGGCUCAUCACAUCCUGGGGCUGAAGUAGGUCCCAAGGGUAUGGCUGUUCGCCAUUUAAAGUGGUACGCGAGCUGGGUUUAGAACGUCGUGAGACAGUUCGGUCCCUAUCUGCCGUGGGCGCUGGAGAACUGAGGGGGGCUGCUCCUAGUACGAGAGGACCGGAGUGGACGCAUCACUGGUGUUCGGGUUGUCAUGCCAAUGGCACUGCCCGGUAGCUAAAUGCGGAAGAGAUAAGUGCUGAAAGCAUCUAAGCACGAAACUUGCCCCGAGAUGAGUUCUCCCUGACUCCUUGAGAGUCCUGAAGGAACGUUGAAGACGACGACGUUGAUAGGCCGGGUGUGUAAGCGCAGCGAUGCGUUGAGCUAACCGGUACUAAUGAACCGUGAGGCUUAACCUU
This 2126-nucleotide ribosomal RNA is filed under the name Escherichia coli KTE229. Its description in RNAcentral is "bacterial LSU rRNA". It matches the Rfam family "Bacterial large subunit ribosomal RNA", at positions 823 to 2925 of the family's 2925-position model. Lineage: Bacteria; Pseudomonadati; Pseudomonadota; Gammaproteobacteria; Enterobacterales; Enterobacteriaceae. The record is from RNAcentral. RNAcentral also lists the same sequence under 1 other name.